RNAcentral lists this unclassified non-coding RNA (207 nucleotides) under Hevea brasiliensis (rubber tree). The record is from RNAcentral. Lineage: Eukaryota; Viridiplantae; Streptophyta; Magnoliopsida; Malpighiales; Euphorbiaceae.
CAAAAAUCUCCAUUUCAUCGGAAAACGAAGAUCGGAGCUUUCGAUUAAAUCAAUUCGUUUUGCCGUUCGAUCCUUCCCGAUCUCAAAAUGAACGACGGAGAUGUGUCCAAGCAGAUCCAUCAGAUGGUCAGAUUCAUCCGCCAAGAAGCGGAGGAGAAGGCCAAUGAGAUUUCUGUUUCCGCUGAAGAAGAAUUCAACAUUGAGAAG